GGCGGACGGGUGAGUAAUGCCUAGGAAAUUGCCUUGAUGUGGGGGAUAACCAUUGGAAACGAUGGCUAAUACCGCAUAAUGCCUACGGGCCAAAGAGGGGGACCUUCGGGCCUCUCGCGUCAAGAUAUGCCUAGGUGGGAUUAGCUAGUUGGUGAGGUAAUGGCUCACCAAGGCGACGAUCCCUAGCUGGUCUGAGAGGAUGAUCAGCCACACUGGAACUGAGACACGGUCCAGACUCCUACGGGAGGCAGCAGUGGGGAAUAUUGCACAAUGGGCGAAAGCCUGAUGCAGCCAUGCCGCGUGUAUGAAGAAGGCCUUCGGGUUGUAAAGUACUUUCAGUUGUGAGGAAGGGUGUGUAGUUAAUAGCUGCGCAUCUUGACGUUAGCAACAGAAGAAGCACCGGCUAACUCCGUGCCAGCAGCCGCGGUAAUACGGAGGGUGCGAGCGUUAAUCGGAAUUACUGGGCGUAAAGCGCAUGCAGGUGGUUCAUUAAGUCAGAU
This 500-nucleotide ribosomal RNA is filed under the name Vibrio tasmaniensis. RNAcentral's name for it is "bacterial SSU rRNA". It matches the Rfam family "Bacterial small subunit ribosomal RNA", at positions 97 to 593 of the family's 1533-position model. The record is from RNAcentral. Lineage: Bacteria; Pseudomonadati; Pseudomonadota; Gammaproteobacteria; Vibrionales; Vibrionaceae.